RNAcentral lists this long non-coding RNA (295 nucleotides) under Theobroma cacao (cacao). Its description in RNAcentral is "long non-coding RNA (TCAC_LNC000398)". Lineage: Eukaryota; Viridiplantae; Streptophyta; Magnoliopsida; Malvales; Malvaceae. The record is from RNAcentral.
GUUUAUCCAUGAUUUUACAUUAAAUGGCUUAUGAUAAAUGUGGGUAUGACUGGUUAUUUUUAUGAUUUUAAGAAUAUGUGAACUGUGUGUUAAGUGAGCCAUGUCAUACUAUUGUGAUUUUAUUGGUUGGUGGAUUAUAAAGUGGGCACUACAGUGACAGAGGUUCCGUGGGCCAGCCUAAUUAGAGGGGCAUGGUUCCCAAUUAUUGAGCUUACCUCGAUUGGAGAGGCGCGUAGGAUAACUCUCGAGGUAGGAUUUGAGUACACUUCACGCUGGCCACCACGUGAAACUGGGA